GUCGUAACAAGGUUUCCGUAGGUGAACCUGCGGAAGGAUCAUUACCACACCUCUUUUACCUAGUGAUAAGUUGAACUCCUUAUGGAUGAAAACAAGUCCUAGGCUAAAAACAAAGGAAGGUGAAGGUACUUGGUAACACAAGUAUUGGAUCUGACUUUUGCGUCCCGUGUAACUUUUUAUCUAUUGUGGUGUCUUCGGAUGCCCAACUUAUAAAACAAAUAACAUUUCAAAUGUUGACCUGAUUAUAAUUUACCAAUAAUUAGAAGUUUGUUGUGUUUACUCACUCAAAUGACUAUAAAAAUUAAUGAUAAAAACACUUUCAGCAACGGAUGUCUUGGCUCCCAU
This 345-nucleotide unclassified non-coding RNA is filed under the name fungal sp. RNAcentral's name for it is "partial internal transcribed spacer region". The stretch from base 1 to 44 matches the Rfam family "Eukaryotic small subunit ribosomal RNA", at positions 1788 to 1831 of the family's 1831-position model. Lineage: Eukaryota; Fungi. The record is from RNAcentral.